Long non-coding RNA from Oncorhynchus tshawytscha (Chinook salmon), 2285 nucleotides. NCBI's taxonomy places the organism in Eukaryota, Metazoa, Chordata, Actinopteri, Salmoniformes, Salmonidae. The record is from Ensembl.
CUAUACUAAACCACUACCCUGUACCCUGCUGGGGCCUAUACUAAACCACUACCCUGUACCCUGCUGUGGCCUAUACUAAACCACUACCCUGUACUCUGCUGUGGCCUAUACUAAACCACUACCCUGUACUCUGCUGUGGCCUAUACUAAACCACUACCCUGUACUCUGCUGUGGCCUAUACUAAACCACUACCCUGUACCCUGGGGUGGCCUAUACUAAACCACUACCCUGUACCCUGCUGGGGCCUAUACUAAACCACUACCCUGUUGUGGCCUAUACUAAACCACUACUCUGUACCCUGCUGUGGCCUAUACUAAACCACCACUCUGUACCCUGCUGGGGCCUAUACUAAACCACUACCUUGUACCCUGCUGGGGCCUAUACUAAACCACUACCCUGUACCCUGCUGUGGCCUAUACUAAACCACUACCCUGUACCCUGCUGGGGCCUAUACUAAACCACUACCCUCACUGUUGUGUUCACAGUGGUGUACAGGGCACUAUUCCCUAUAUAGUGUACUAGGACCCAUAGGGUUCUUGUCAAAAGUAGUGCACUCUGUAGUAUGUCUGGGAAUUGCCAGGGACCUCACGAUACGAUAUUAUCCCCAUACUUAGGUGCCGAUACGAUAUUAUCCCCAUACUUAGGUGCCGAUACGAUAUUAUCCCCAUACUUAGGUGCCGAUACGAUAUUAUCCCCAUACUUAGGUGCCGAUACGAUAUUAUCCCCAUACUUAGGUGCCGAUACGAUAUUAUCCCCAUACUUAGGUGCCGAUACGAUAUUAUCCCCAUACUUAGGUGCCGAUACGAUAUUAUUCCCAUACUUAGGUGCCGAUACGAUAUGUAUUAUGCUAUUUGACACUGAGAUUUCAUUGCGAUUCAGCGUUUUAAACAUAUCGCUCACCAUGUGUCUGCUGCAGAGGGACAAGAGAGAGACAUGAGAAAACCAGUGUCGAUCAGUCACGGAAAUAAAAGUGCCGAAAACAAACUGGCUCCCUAUUUCAAAAGAAGAUGGAGAACAAGCUAUGAAAGACAAAUCCCGAUCUUUGACCCCCCCACCCCUUCCCCAUCGAUACUACAGUAUAUAGGGAACAGGAUUCCAUUUCAGAUGCAAAUCCCAGGAGAAUAUCGCAGUUAUGACAUGACGUGAAAACCCGAUGAAUCAUCAGAGACAGACAAAUGACACACUUCCUCAUAACACAACUCUAUGAGUUGCAGCCCGUCACAAUCGAUUGCAGUGCCUUGACGGGAAACUAACAACCGAAACAAAACCUGAGCUAAUGAGAUGUGUGAGGUCGUAGCAGGGUGGACAGGGACGCGAUAACCAUAUCAAUCAUAUGGUUGGAGUACAGAGACUGUGAUCAUUAAGGAAACAUGUUCAAGAUUGAGUGAUCUUGAUCUGACAGAUGUUUGACUUGGUCAGUGUGUCACGGAAUAACUAAGCCUGUAUUACAAUUCAUUAGUCAAUCAGAAUAACUAAGCCUGUAUUAUAAAUCAUUAGUCAAUCAGAAUAACUAAGCCUGUAUUAUAAAUCAUUAGUCAAUCAGAAUAACUAAGCCUGUAUUAUAAUUCAUUAGUCAAUCAGAAUAACUAAGCCUGUAUUAUAAAUCAUUAGUCAAUCAGAAUAACUAAGCCUGUAUUAUAAAUCAUUAAUACAUCUGUUUUGAAUAUCACAGCCAGGAUAUUUCCUUAUUAGGUCAUAAAUACAGUUAGGUUCAGAGGAGAGUCCUGGGUGCUUUCGGAGUUAUUGAGUAUUUUUUAAAUGUAUUUUGUAUUAUAAUAUAUAUGUUUAAACCCGUCCCAACCAUCCACCACCCCGCUCUUCAGAGGACACAUCUUUAUAGUUGCUUUUUUUACAGCUUUUCUGCUACAUAUACAUGUUACAUACAUGGUACAUACAUGUUACACACAUGGUACAUACAUGUUACAUACAUGGUGCAUACAUGUUACAUACAUGGCACAUACAUGUUACACACAUGGUACAUACAGGGUACAUACAUGGUACAUACAUGUUACACACACGGUACAUACAGGGUACAUACAUGGUACAUACAUGUUACAUACAUGGUACAUACAUGUUACAUACAUGGUACAUGCAUGUUACAUACAUGGUACAUACAUGUUACACACAUGGUACAUACAGGGUACAUACAUGGUAUGUAACAUCAGUCACAUAACAAUAAUACAUGACUGAACAUAAACUCUUUAAUCCCACCCCUCCGCUACUCUCAGCCCAUCCCACCUAUCACCAUAGACCUCAACUCUGUAAUCCCACCCCUCCGCUACUCU